GUCUACGGCCAUAGCACCCUGAACACACCUGAUCUCGUCUGAUCUCGGAAGCUAAGCAGGGUUGGACCUGGUUAGUACUUGGAUGAGAGGUAAGAGUUUAAACCUGACCGGGCUCGACA
This 119-nucleotide ribosomal RNA is filed under the name Carlito syrichta (Philippine tarsier). Lineage: Eukaryota; Metazoa; Chordata; Mammalia; Primates; Tarsiidae. The record is from RNAcentral.